CCAUUUUUAUGUGAUAUAUCACUGUUUAGUUGUGACGAAUCCACACAUGACUGUUCAAAAGCACCUAUUACAUCAAGUCCGAGUAGUAUUCAACCACAUCUAACCCUUCUUAUUGACCAUACUAAAAAAUAAAAGUUAAUGAUAAAACA
Populus trichocarpa (black cottonwood) is the source of this 149-nucleotide non-coding RNA. NCBI's taxonomy places the organism in Eukaryota, Viridiplantae, Streptophyta, Magnoliopsida, Malpighiales, Salicaceae. The record is from Rfam.